RNAcentral lists this ribosomal RNA (253 nucleotides) under uncultured bacterium. RNAcentral describes it as "partial 16S ribosomal RNA". It matches the Rfam family "Bacterial small subunit ribosomal RNA", at positions 524 to 776 of the family's 1533-position model. The record is from RNAcentral.
UACGUAGGGGGCGAGCGUUGUCCGGAAUCAUUGGGCGUAAAGCGCGUGUUGGCGGUUCGGUAAGUCUGCUGUGAAAGUCCAGGGCUCAACCCUGGGAUGCCGGUGGAUACUGCCGAACUAGAGUGCGGAAGAGGCGAGUGGAAUUCCCGGUGUAGCGGUGAAAUGCGCAGAUAUCGGGAGGAACACCAAUUGCGAAGGCAGCUCGCUGGGACGUGACUGACGCUGAUACGCGAAAGCGUGGGGAGCAAACAGG